GGCGGAUGUAGCCAAGUGGAUCAAGGCAGUGGAAUGUG
This 38-nucleotide transfer RNA is filed under the name Cirsium neomexicanum. RNAcentral describes it as "partial tRNA-His". Lineage: Eukaryota; Viridiplantae; Streptophyta; Magnoliopsida; Asterales; Asteraceae. The record is from RNAcentral.